ACGGACUGGAGACUGGCUCCCACACACAUCUCCGUGACCGCGUGGCCACUGCCUCCUAAGGGUCUUAUCUUUUCUAAUCCAUAUCACGGACUGGAGACUGGCUCCCACACACAUCUCCGUGACCGCGUGGCCACUGCCUCCUAAGGGUCUUAUCUUUUCUAAUCCACACCACUGACUGGAGAUCGGCUCCCACACACAUCUCCGUGACCGCGUGGCCACUGCCUCCUAAGGGUCUUAUCUUUUCUAAUCCAUAUCACGGACUGGAGAUCGGCUCCCACACACAUCUCCGUGACCGCGUGGCCACUGCCUCCUAAGGGUCUUAUUUUAUCCAGACUCCUGUACCUCUAUAAUCCACUAGACUUUUACAAAAUACAAGUGAGAUCAUGCCCCCCGCACUUAAAAUCUUUCACUGUCCACAAAAUAAAAAAUAAAUUAUUUAGCAAGGCAUAUAAAACCUGACCCGAUCUACCUAUGCAGCCCUGUCUCCCUCUGCUGCCUCCAAACUCCAUGAGACUCCCUCUUCCUUCUUUCCCCCAUUACUGUCACGUUGGUAAGAUCCCACCCAUUCUUUUAAGAUUCAGAUUAAAACAGAAUUUGUCUAUGACCCCUGCCCUCAGCCCCUGCUUCAGCCUAUCAAUUCCUCUUCUGAGAUCCUGCUAUGCCUUGUACAGCAUAUACCAGUUUUGUUACAUCUGUUAUACUGGAAUCUUCUAUUAAUGUCUUUCUUCUCCAUACAAAAAUGGUGAACUCUUUGAAGGCAGAGAGUGUGUAUUUCUUAUCUUUGUGCCUUCAGUCCCCAGCAC
Molecule: long non-coding RNA, 803 nt
Filed under: Homo sapiens (human)
Lineage: Eukaryota; Metazoa; Chordata; Mammalia; Primates; Hominidae
Description: HSALNT0235729
Source: RNAcentral